GGAAAGGUGCUCGAGUGGUUGAAGAGGCACGCCUGGAAAGCGUGUAUACCCCUAAAGGGUAUCGCAGGUUCGAAUCCUGUUCUUUCCG
Molecule: transfer RNA, 88 nt
Filed under: Dysgonamonadaceae bacterium
Lineage: Bacteria; Pseudomonadati; Bacteroidota; Bacteroidia; Bacteroidales; Dysgonomonadaceae
Description: tRNA-Ser
Rfam family: tRNA
About the family: Transfer RNA (tRNA) molecules are approximately 80 nucleotides in length. Their secondary structure includes four short double-helical elements and three loops (D, anti-codon, and T loops). Further hydrogen bonds mediate the characteristic L-shaped molecular structure. tRNAs have two regions of fundamental functional importance: the anti-codon, which is responsible for specific mRNA codon recognition, and the 3' end, to which the tRNAs corresponding amino acid is attached (by aminoacyl-tRNA synthetases). tRNAs cope with the degeneracy of the genetic code in two manners: having more than one tRNA (with a specific anti-codon) for a particular amino acid; and 'wobble' base-pairing, i.e. permitting non-standard base-pairing at the 3rd anti-codon position.
Source: RNAcentral